Molecule: ribosomal RNA, 700 nt
Filed under: uncultured archaeon
Lineage: Archaea
Description: bacterial SSU rRNA
Rfam family: Archaeal small subunit ribosomal RNA
Source: RNAcentral
UUAAGCCAUGCAAGUCGAGAGGUGUAAGACCUCGGCAUACUGCUCAGUAACACGUGGUUAACCUGCCCUAAGGUGGAGAAUACUCCCGGGAAACUGGGGCUAAUGCUCCAUAGUGGAUAUGUCCUGGAAUGGUAUAUCCUCGAAAGAUCCGUCGCCUUAGGAUGGGACUGCGUCCGAUUAGGUUGUUGGCGGGGUAACGGCCCACCAAGCCAUUGAUCGGUACGGGUUGUGGGAGCAAGAUCCCGGAGAUGGAUUCUGAGACAUGAAUCCAGGCCCUACGGGGCGCAGCAGGCGCGCAAACUUUACAAUGCGAGCAAUCGUGAUAAGGAAACCCUGAGUGCCUGUCGAUGCAGGCUGUUCAUAUAUCUAAAUCAUAUGUGAAGAAAGGGCAGGGCAAGACCGGUGCCAGCCGCCGCGGUAAUACCGGCUGCUCGAGUGAUGGCCACUAUUACUGGGUUUAAAGCGUCCGUAGCUUGACUGUUAGGUCUCUUGGGAAAUCUUCACGCUCAACGUGAAGGCGUCUAAGAGAUACCGGCAGUCUUGGAACUGGGAGAGGUAAACCGUACUUCGGGGGUAGGAGUGAAAUCUUGUAAUCCUCGAGGGACGACCUAUGGCGAAGGCAGUUUACCAGAACAGCUUCGACAGUGAGGGACGAAAGCUGGGGGAGCAAACGGGAUUAGAUACCCCGGUAGUCCCAGCC